Molecule: ribosomal RNA, 435 nt
Filed under: Streptococcus cristatus
Lineage: Bacteria; Bacillati; Bacillota; Bacilli; Lactobacillales; Streptococcaceae
Description: bacterial SSU rRNA
Rfam family: Bacterial small subunit ribosomal RNA
Source: RNAcentral
GACGAACGCAGGCGGCGUGCCUAAUACAUGCAAGUAGAACGCUGAAGGGAGAGCUUGCUCUUCUGGAUGAGUUGCGAACGGGUGAGUAACGCGUAGGUAACCUGCCUGGUAGCGGGGGAUAACUAUUGGAAACGAUAGCUAAUACCGCAUAACAUUGACUAUUGCAUGAUAGUUAAUUGAAAGGUGCAAAUGCACCACUACCAGAUGGACCUGCGUUGUAUUAGCUAGUUGGUGGGGUAACGGCUCACCAAGGCGACGAUACAUAGCCGACCUGAGAGGGUGAUCGGCCACACUGGGACUGAGACACGGCCCAGACUCCUACGGGAGGCAGCAGUAGGGAAUCUUCGGCAAUGGACGGAAGUCUGACCGAGCAACGCCGCGUGAGUGAAGAAGGUUUUCGGAUCGUAAAGCUCUGUUGUAAGAGAAGAACGAGUG